This 548-nucleotide ribosomal RNA is filed under the name uncultured bacterium. RNAcentral describes it as "bacterial SSU rRNA". It matches the Rfam family "Bacterial small subunit ribosomal RNA", at positions 773 to 1315 of the family's 1533-position model. The record is from RNAcentral.
ACGUAAUAGAUACCCGGGUAGUCCAUGCCGUAAACGUUGGGCACUAGGUGUGGGGGACAUUCCACGUUUUCCGCGCCGUAGCUAAACGCAUUAAAGUGCCCCGCCUGGGGAGUACGGCCGCAAGGCUAAAACUCAAAGGAAUUGACGGGGGCCCGCACAAGCGGCGGAGCAUGCGGAUUAAUUCGAUGCAACGCGAAGAACCUUACCAAGGCUUGACAUGAACCAGACCGGGCUGGAAACAGUCCUUCCCCUUGUGGGUUGGUUUACAGGUGGUGCAUGGUUGUCGUCAGCUCGUGUCGUGAGAUGUUGGGUUAAGUCCCGCAACGAGCGCAACCCUCGUUCUAUGUUGCCAGCACGUGAUGGUGGGGGACUCAUAGGAGACUGCCGGGGUCAACUCGGAGGAAGGUGGGGACGACGUCAAAUCAUCAUGCCCCUUAUGUCUUGGGCUUCACGCAUGCUACAAUGGCCGGUACAAAGGGUUGCGAUACUGUGAGGUGGAGCUAAUCCCAAAAAGCCGGUCUCAGUUCGGAUUGGGGUCUGCAACUCGA